GGAGAGGUGCCGGAGUGGUCGAACGGGCCGGUUUCGAAAACCGGUGUGCCCUAGCGGGUACCGUGGGUUCGAAUCCCACCCUCUCCGCCA
Molecule: transfer RNA, 90 nt
Filed under: Planctomycetota bacterium
Lineage: Bacteria; Pseudomonadati; Planctomycetota
Description: tRNA-Ser
Rfam family: tRNA
About the family: Transfer RNA (tRNA) molecules are approximately 80 nucleotides in length. Their secondary structure includes four short double-helical elements and three loops (D, anti-codon, and T loops).
Source: RNAcentral